Molecule: long non-coding RNA, 1242 nt
Organism: Panicum virgatum (switchgrass)
Lineage: Eukaryota; Viridiplantae; Streptophyta; Magnoliopsida; Poales; Poaceae
Exons: 3
Source: RefSeq, a predicted model, not a curated record
AGAGGUGAAGCAAUCGAGGCAUCCCAAGACGGCCGGUAGAGCAUUCUACAUAUGCAAGUGGAAUGAUUCAUUGAAUCCUUGCCACUGCUUUUUCUUUCAGUGGAUCGAUGGUCCGGAUAAGUUCGAUCCUAGAAUUCGGCUGUUCCCUUAUUAUCGGUCAGAGUCGUGGGCGUACAAUGAGUUUAGACGAUGGGUCCCUCCCCCACCAAAUCCACCACCUAUGACAGAGGAAGAGAAGCAAGAAGCUGAUAUAUAUCGUGUGAACAAUCCUCCCAAAUGUCAUUGCGGUGUUCGUGCCAAACUUCAAAGGCCUAAUAUUGGUGUCCCUCCAAAGUUCACUUCCCUUUUUUAGAUGCUCGCUAAAGACUAGAGAUGGAUGGCCGGCAUGUGACUUCAAUGAGUAUAUUUAUGGUCCUAGAUCUCAUUGGCCGACAGAAGAGGAAGUGCGAGAAUUUGAGAGUGGGAAGAAGCCAUGGCCAUGUACAACUACUCCUAGUCUUCGAUGCAAGUGUGGUAUUCUGCUCACAAAAGGCGUAGUUCCUUCUGAGCUUGGCUACGGAUAUUACUGUGGCAAUAGCUACGGAGAGUAUUGGGAGGGAAGGACAUGUGAUUGGGAGUGGUUCGAAGGCUGGUAUGAGCUAAUGUUGCAAUUGGGCAGAACAAAAGAGCCUUGGAAAUCUCGAGACACUUUAAAUAGAAAACUAAAGAUAAGGAAGGAUUACCAAGUUACUUUGCCCCUUGAGUCAUUUCUGUCAGGGCCUGUACUCCAAGACCUACGGCGUGAGUAUGGAAAGAAGGCAGCAGAAAAGGCAACUCUUGAGGAUUGCAUUGUUUACUGGAGGAGGAACCGAAGCAAGUACCCACGGCCCCUCACAGAUAGGGAGCUUUUGGCAAAUUAUGAGAAGAAGGAGAAGGAGGAGGAGAUGGAGAGGCAAAGGUUAUGGGAGGAAAGAGCAAAGAAAUGUUUUACUGUUGAUCCGGAAGCUAAAUACCCAAAGGGUUCAUGGGAAGAAUAUUUUCAGAAAUUGGAGGCUAACAAGAGGAUGGAAGAAAUGGAAAAGAUGGAGGAUUUAGCUCAGGAGGCUCAGAUGGAGGCAAUGCAGGCCCUAGUUGCCGAUCUGCCACACAAGGUGCCGAACGUUGAGAAGGAUGUGUCAUCCGCGAGCACGGAGGUUUUGGGUGUUAGAGCUACUCAAAUGGAGGCAAUGAAGGCACUUGUAGGAGACUUACCUGCCCAGGAUC